Molecule: long non-coding RNA, 2094 nt
Organism: Grus americana (Whooping crane)
Lineage: Eukaryota; Metazoa; Chordata; Aves; Gruiformes; Gruidae
Exons: 2
Source: RefSeq, a predicted model, not a curated record
GAGAGGAGCGACCCUGCAGCCCUGACGCGGGAACCGUGACGUUGGUGAUAAUCACGCCUGGCUCCUGGAAGGAAAAGGGAAGAGGAGGGCUGGAAGGUGGCACGGUCCCUGUGAGCACAGCCGGCACGGCUUUUCCCAGCGCUCCCACGCUGGGUUUGCUGGCACGACCUGGCUCCCGCGACUCCAAAAAAGCCCCCCCGACUCCAAAAAAGCCCCCCCAAAUCGCACCGCAGCGGUGGGGGGGGAAUAAGGAACGAGCACUCAAUUGCAAAGACACACGCUGGUGCUCACGGCUGACGCCAACAGCUUUCUGGUGGGUUAAUGCCCCGGGAGAGGCUCAGCGCUGCCAAAGCCCAUAUUUCUCCUCCGAGCCAAGAACCAGCUGGAGAUGUUUGCUUUUAGCGGAGAAGAAAAACAACAACCAGCCCCCAGCAACCCACAACGCUGUUUCCCAUUAGCCUUCCCCUGGGCAUUAGGGGAGAGGUGCUAAAUAAAUGAAGUAAUGCAAUAUUAAGACUCCCUCUGUCAUGAGCAGUAUCCACUCUCUCCUGAUUGCUUGCAGUCAGAUGCUGAAUUGCUGCUAAAAGGACUUUCGAGCCGAGGGCUGGAAGCAGAAGCCCCCCGCUCGUUCCUCGUUUGCGCUGAGUAAUUUCCUCAGCUUCUGGCUCUGCUGCUGCCACGAAGGCGACCGGGACGGUGUGGGCUCUGGGUUCCCCUCUGCGCUGGGGAUGGGGAAAGCUGCUGGGUACUCCCAAGUCCGCGUUGCAGCUCGCUCGGCUCCGGGCGUCCGUCAGGGCUUGCGCUGCCUCUGCAGAAGGAGCCGCUCUGGGAGAUUUUAUUUUGCAAGAGAGCAGGGGCACAACACGGGCACCGGCAGCCCCAAGUUACCACCGACUCGAUGAAUCGGGGUCCCAGGUUCCAGGGAAAGCUGGACCAGACGGUCAGCAGGAUUUCCUCCAAACAGGGGUGUAAAAAGUUAACUUUUGGACAAGUUUAUGGAUCUUUGGCACUGGAAUUACAGCUUUUUUCAGGAGGAGAUAUUUUCACACACCGAUGGGAUUUGGCAGAAUAACCCCGCGUCCCUCGUCGUUCGUGCAGACCAAGGGCGGCCACGUUGGCACGCGGCUCCGCGGCUCCCUGCGAUGGAAACUUUGACAAAACCCAUUUGCUAACGCUGCAUCGCUGCUCUGCUCUCCCGCUGCAGUAUCGUGUCCCGCUGUAAUUUCGUCUCCCGCCAUUACGCGCUGCAAACCCUGGAAGAAGUUCAAAAGCGGAGGCAGAGACACGCUUGCAAAAUACCCUUUCAGCGCCGUUUGCUGACCCGUGGCGAACUCCUCUUGAGCAAGCCCCUGCCCCGGGUCCCGGCGAGGCUUUCGGCAAACAUUGCCUUUGCCCGGUGUUUUUUCUGGUUCAGCUCCCCUCGGCUUCGCCAGGGACGAAUCUCAUCGGGGUCUGGCAGUUUGCUGUUGCCGUCGCAGACAGCCGUCACGCAACGCUGACAUGAUAGAGCGGAGGAGAGCAGCGCUCAACCACCCCCCCUGCUCCAUCUUGAGCCAAAAUGCAUUUGUGCUUCUCCACGAGGACGGUUAUUUCUCCUUGCUUCAGAGCACAGAAAGCCUCGCAGAGCAGCCCGCAGCUCCCAGCACCCUGGGGCUGGCUAUAAAAACCGUAAUACAGCGUUCAGGUGUUCAGAUGAAAUGUUGCUCUCUUUAUUUGUACUUUAAAAAAGAAUGAUCUGGGUAACGACAGCCCUACAGCUCUUGCUCAAGCUUGGCACGAAUUUACAAACUCUCUCGGUGCUCCAAGGAGAGGAGAGAAGUUCGGAGCUCGGCACAUGCCGCGCUGCACGCCGUCGUCCUUAACAGCUCAGCGCUUCGCCCGAGUCGGCCGGUUUGUAACCUCAGAGCUGGAUUUGGCCUCGACUCCCGUAACGCAACCGACCGUUGCUCGAGAGCGGCUCGUCGAAUGGAGGAACCGGCAACGAUUGAUAAACUUAACGUCUGCGCGUAAACCCAGCCUGUAACUCGGCGGCAACGGGCUGGGUUUGUUGUUGCAGUUUUGGGGGGGUGCAUUAAAUGAGUUUAACGAGUUACA